Molecule: ribosomal RNA, 277 nt
Filed under: uncultured prokaryote
Description: partial 16S ribosomal RNA
Rfam family: Bacterial small subunit ribosomal RNA
Source: RNAcentral
UACGUAGGGGCAAGCGUUAUCCGGAAUUAUUGGGCGUAAAAGAGUGCGUAGGUGGUUACCUAAGCGCAAGGUUUAAUCUUGAGGCUCAACCUCAUUUUGCCUUGCGAACUGGGCUACUUGAGUGCAGGAGGGGAAAGCGGAAUUCCUAGUGUAGCGGUGAAAUGCGUAGAUAUUAGGAAGAACACCGGUGGCGAAGGCGGCUUUCUGGACUGUAACUGACACUGAGGCACGAAAGCGUGGGGAGCAAACAGGAUUAGAUACCCUGGUAGUCCCUGAG